This 253-nucleotide ribosomal RNA is filed under the name uncultured bacterium. Its description in RNAcentral is "partial 16S ribosomal RNA". It matches the Rfam family "Bacterial small subunit ribosomal RNA", at positions 524 to 776 of the family's 1533-position model. The record is from RNAcentral.
UACGUAGGGUGCAAGCGUUAAUCGGAAUUACUGGGCGUAAAGCGUGCGCAGGCGGCUAUGCACGACAGAUGUGAAAUCCCCGGGCUUAACCUGGGAACUGCAUUUGUGACUGCAUGGCUAGAGUACGGCAGAGGGGGAUGGAAUUCCGCGUGUAGCAGUGAAAUGCGUAGAUAUGCGGAGGAACACCGAUGGCGAAGGCAAUCCCCUGGGCCUGUACUGACGCUCAUGCACGAAAGCGUGGGGAGCAAACAGG